GUCACGGCAGGUGGCCCCGCUCAUGCGGCACUGGCCUCGCCCCCGAGCGCAGGCCCCGCCUCGCCACGCGCCGGUACUGAGGGAUGGCGUUCCCGCCUCGGGCGCGGCUGAGGCGAUGGUGGGGCUGAGGGGAUGUUCCUGCUCCCGGCCGUGAGGGGAUGGCCCGCCCUUGGGCCUGAGGCGGUGUCCUGCUGUGAGCUUCCACAACUGGCCCUCUGAGAGCACUGCACUGUGUUGGGACAGGUCUGAGGCAAUGCCCCUAUCCCCGGCUUUACCAAAUCGGCCCUCCAGGGGUGCCACGCAGUGUUUGUGCAGGUCCGAGUCGCAUUCCUAUCCAUGUAUCCAUGCAGUCCGUGAAAUUUGCCCUCUUGAGAGUGCUACGCUGUGUUUGCACGGGCCUGGGGUGCUGCCAUGUCACCUGGCCUUCCGAAGGGACACUUAGGGAGUGCUAUGCCAUGUUCAUGCAGGCCUAAGGUGGUGCCGUGUCACUGGGCCUUCAAAAGGGUCUUCCAAGAGUGCUAGACUACACCUGCACUGAUGCCUGAAGUGCUGCUCUAUCACCCAACCUCCUGAAAUGAUCCCUACAAGAGCACUACACCGUGUUUGUGUGACCUUGAGGUGCUGCCCUAUGUUUGGCCUCCCCACACAGGCCCUUCAAGAGCCCUCUUGGGUGUUUGUACAAGCCCUGAGGUGCUGCUGUAUCAGCCCAUCCCCUUGAAAACAUCCCUUGAUCCCAGUACAGAUGGGCACAUGCCUGCAGCCCAGCUGUUGGCUCUGUGGUGGUGGCAGCUGUCCCAGUUUCUCUGCUGGAAGCGCUGUUGCACUGUGCCAGGAGGCUGCUGAGGAGGCCGGAGUGGAUGCCAUACACACUACCAACAGGAUGCCUGCCUUCACCCUGAAAAAGGAUGCUGUGUACGUUAUUGCUGCUGGGCUGUCCCUGACCUGCUUUGCUAUACGUCAAAGGCAGAGUAGGAGGUGUAAGGUGCAGAAUUUGCUUCACCAGACACCUGUCACGUCUUUUUACUGGCCUCCAGCUAGUUGCAAGGUGAGCUACAGGCAGUCUUCCUGUUUUUCUCAGUGCACCAAACUUCAGCUACCCAAACUGCACUGUUUGGCGCUGUGGAUGAGCAUAACAACUACGUCUGGUCACAGAACUGGGAUGAAGUCCAUGAGAUAAGCAUUUCUGAUCAAUAGGAUCUGGCUAUAAAGCAGUCUGCAUUACUUCGUAGUACUUUACAUUGCAAUACUUCGCUCUUGGACAACGUGUUCAAUCCGUGAUCUCAGAAAAGAAACACACCCUCCUAACCCUUAUGGGCCAGAAGUGGUGGAAACCCCAAAACAAAAGAACGAAACAAGCUCCCCUAACCAAAUUCAACAUGGGCUUUGAGUCACAGAAGAGGAAUUGCAGAAGGAUUCAGGGAGUUCACGAAGGACUUCUUGACUGGUAUUGACUUUGCGUGGAAGGCAUCCAGACUAGCACUAUGCUCCAGUUUUAAAAUGCUGAACCAAAAGGCUGUAUGCAUUCAGCUCCAAGACCACUUGACAGACUUGGAUUAAAUAGAUCCCAAUGCUGGGUGUGAUGUGCUGCAGCCCAUGGUGGCUGGUAUGUGGAUGCUGCAUGAAGGACUUAAGAGGUGUCUCAGGAGCCACCUCCAUCCUACCCGGCCCUGCUCCCCCUGGUGCUGUGGUCAGCUCAUCCCAAGAGAGACAGACCCUCAAAGCCCAAUGCAUGUUCAUCCUGGCAUUGCUGAGGGACGGCAGCAAUGCAGCCACCACGGCAGCUCUCCAGCAGGCAACAGCAUCCAGGGACCCUCCUUCCGGGGAUGCGCUCCCGUGGUCUCGGAGUGCUGCCAAAAACCCCUCCCAUCAGAAGUCCAUGAUGAAUGACCUGUCCUUGAGUCACAGAAAAGCUCCUGACCAAACCAAGCCCUGAAUUUUUUGCUGAGCUGGAAGGACAUGAUGCUGCAGCCACGAGAUUCACCCACCGUGUCGGAGGAUCCAUGCAGGAUGCAGUCUGAGAGCCCCCAAACUCACUGCACACAGGAUGCUUCAGUGCCAACAGCUGGUCUUUUUCAGAUGCGGGACUUUGGAAAGGAAGGAGCAUCCUACCUCUGACAUCUCCACUGAGCCGUAUUAUUAGUUUUGGCGAUUAAAUAGAAACCCGUUUGCAGGUGACAAUGCUGUAAAAAUAAGUAGGUACCAGAGCCGACAUUGUGAAAAUAAGGCAGGAGAACAGAGCUCAGGCAGCAUACAUAAUCUGUGGGGAAAUAAGUGUGUGAAUAAUGAAUGUGCACUGGAAAAAUAAAAUACAUUAUUGUGGUAAAGAUAAGUCUAUUAAAGUCUUGCUGCAGUGCCUGCGCUGGGACACCUGAUAGAUUACUGAGUUCUCCACCUCAAGGUGCAGCUCUCUACUCGGCUGCGUGCCCCUACCUAGGCAUCCACCUGGUGUGGGCUUGCCAGACUCCCCCGACUCACCUGAGAGGGACACCUUGGACCUUCUUGACCACUUUUCCUGCUCACUGUAAGUGUUCUGCAGCGUCUUUUAGCUGAGUUAAGGGAAUCGCCUACCAGGAUGGGAGUUGGGUGCAG
Molecule: non-coding RNA, 2589 nt
Organism: Phalacrocorax carbo (great cormorant)
Lineage: Eukaryota; Metazoa; Chordata; Aves; Suliformes; Phalacrocoracidae
Source: RefSeq, a predicted model, not a curated record